GAGAUUGGGAAGAACACCCGUGGCGAAGGCGGCCAACUGGACCGACAUUGACGCUGAGGCGCGAAAGCGUGGGGAUCAAACAGGAUUAGAUACCCUGGUAGUCCACGCCGUAAACGAUGCAUGCUAGACGUUGGAAGGCUUAGCCUUUUUGUGUCGCAGCUAACGCAUUAAGCAUGCCGCCUGGGGAGUACGGCCGCAAGGUUGAAACUCAAAUGAAUUGACGGGGGCCCGCACAAGCGGUGGAGUAUGUGGUUUAAUUCGACGCAACGCGAAGAACCUUACCAGCCUUUGACAUGUCCACUAUGGGUCUUGGAGACGAGAUCCUUCGGUUCGGCCGGGUGGAACACAGGUGCUGCAUGGCUGUCGUCAGCUCGUGUCGUGAGAUGUUGGGUUAAGUCCCGCAACGAGCGCAACCCUCGUCCCUAGUUGCCAGCAUUCAGUUGGGAACUCUAGGGAGACUGCCGGUGACAAACCGGAGGAAGGUGGGGAUGACGUCAAAUCAUCAUGCCCCUUAUGUCCUGGGCUACACACGUGCUACAAUGGCCGGUACAACGAGCUGCGAGGCAGCGAUGCCAA
Molecule: ribosomal RNA, 576 nt
Filed under: Microcaldota archaeon
Lineage: Archaea; Nanobdellati; Microcaldota
Description: bacterial SSU rRNA
Rfam family: Bacterial small subunit ribosomal RNA
Source: RNAcentral